This 419-nucleotide ribosomal RNA is filed under the name uncultured bacterium. RNAcentral describes it as "bacterial SSU rRNA". It matches the Rfam family "Bacterial small subunit ribosomal RNA", at positions 355 to 774 of the family's 1533-position model. The record is from RNAcentral.
UGAGGAAUAUUGCACAAUGGGCGCAAGCCUGAUGCAGCGACGCCGCGUGUGGGAUGAAGGGGCUACGCCUCGUAAACCACUGUAGCCCGGGACGAAAAACGCCUUAGAGGCGUUAGACGGUACCGGGAAAGUAAGGGUCGGCUAACUACGUGCCAGCAGCCGCGGUAAUACGAAGGGUGCAAGCGUUACUCGGAAUUACUGGGCGUAAAGCGUGCGUAGGUGGUUGUUUAAGUCUGAUGUGAAAGCCCUGGGCUCAACCUGGGAAUGGCAUUGGAAACUUGGCAGCUAGAGUGCGGUAGAGGGUAGUGGAAUUCCCGGUGUAGCAGUGAAAUGCGUAGAGAUCGGGAGGAACAUCUGUGGCGAAGGCGACUGCCUGGACCAGCACUGACACUGAGGCACGAAAGCGUGGGGAGCAAACA